UACGUAGGGUGCGAGCGUUAAUCGGAAUUACUGGGCGUAAAGCGUGCGCAGGCGGUUCGUUAUGUCCGAUGUGAAAGCCCCGAGCUCAACUUGGGAAUGGCAUUGGAAACUGGCGGGCUGGAGUGUGGCAGAGGGGGAUGGAAUUCCGCGUGUAGCAGUGAAAUGCGUAGAUAUGCGGAGGAACACCGAUGGCGAAGGCAAUCCCCUGGGCCUGCACUGACGCUCAUGCACGAAAAGCGUGGGGAGCAAACAGGG
RNAcentral lists this ribosomal RNA (255 nucleotides) under uncultured bacterium. Its description in RNAcentral is "partial 16S ribosomal RNA". It matches the Rfam family "Bacterial small subunit ribosomal RNA", at positions 524 to 777 of the family's 1533-position model. The record is from RNAcentral.